AUCAGGAUGAGGUGAUUAUUGGAGUCAGGUGUGUUAUCUGGGGCAAAACGAUGACACCAAUCAGGCCCCCGAGGACUGGAGUUGCCCAGGCAUGUUGUAGAGUGUGUGUGUGUGUGGUUGUAGAGUGUGUAUGUGUGUGGUUGUAGAGUGUGUGUGUGUGGUUGUAGAGUGUGUGUGUGUGGUUGUAGAGUGUGUGUGUGUUCUCUCCAGCUUAUUGUUUUGUCUCUGAGCUGCAUUGAUCCUAUGUAUAUAUUUCUAUUAGAGACUGCAUUAGACAGUGUGUCUAUAUCCUACUGUAGUAGAGGUCUGUAUGUAGACUACAUUCUGCUAGGUGUGUCUAUAUCCUACUGUAGUAGAGGUCUGUAUGUAGACUACAUUCUGCUAGGUGUGUCUAUAUCCUACUGUAGUAGAGAGGUCUGUAUGUAGACUACAUUCUGCUAGGUGUGUCUAUAUCCUACUGUAGUAGAGGUCUGUAUGUAGACUACAUUCUGCUAGGUGUGUCUAUAUCCUACUGUAGUAGAGGUCUGUAUGUAGACUACAUUCUGCUAGGUGUGUCUAUAUCCUACUGUAGUAGAGGUCUGUAUGUAGACUACAUUCUGCUAGGUGUGUCUAUAUCCUACUGUAGUAGAGAGGUCUGUAUGUAGACUACAUUCUGCUAGGUGUGUCUAUAUCCUACUGUAGUAGAGAGGUCUGUAUGUAGACUACAUUCUGCUAGGUGUGUCUAUAUCCUACUGUAGUAGAGAGGUCUGUAUGUAGACUACAUUCUGCUAGGUGUGUCUAUAUCCUACUGUAGUAGAGAGGUCUGUAUGUAGACUACAUUCUGCUAGGUGUGUCUAUAUCCUACUGUAGUAGAGAUGUCUGUAUGUAGACUACAUUCUGCUAGGUGUGUCUAUAUCCUACUGUAGUAGAGGUCUGUAUGUAGACUACAUUCUGCUAGGUGUGUCUAUAUCCUACUGUAGUAGAGAGGUCUGUAUGUAGACUACAUUCUGCUAGUUGUGUCUAUAUCCUACUGUAGUAGAGAGGUCUGUAUGUAGACUACAUUCUGCUAGGUGUGUCUAUAUCCUACUGUAGUAGAGAGGUCUGUAUGUAGACUACAUUCUGCUAGGUGUGUCUAUAUCCUACUGUAGUAGAUGUCUGUAUGUAGACUACAUUCUGCUAGGUGUGUCUAUAUCCUACUGUAGUAGAGAGGUCUGUAUGUAGACUACAUUCUGCUAGGUGUGUCUAUAUCCUACUGUAGUAGAGAGGUCUGUAUGUAGACUACAUUCUGCUAGGUGUGUCUAUAUCCUACUGUAGUAGAGAGGUCUGUAUGUAGACUACAUUCUGCUAGGUGUGUCUAUAUCCUACUGUAGUAGAGGUCUGUAUGUAGACUACAUUCUGCUAGGUGUGUCUAUAUCCUACUGUAGUAGAGGUCUGUAUGUAGACUACAUUCUGCUAGGUGUGUCUAUAUCCUACUGUAGUAGAGAGGUCUGUAUGUAGACUACAUUCUGCUAGGUGUGUCUAUAUCCUACUGUAGUAGAGGUCUGUAUGUAGACUACAUUCUGCUAGGUGUGUCUAUAUCCUACUGUAGUAGAGAUGUCUGUAUGUAGACUACAUUCUGCUAGGUGUGUCUAUAUCCUACUGUAGUAGAGAGGUCUGUAUGUAGACUACAUUCUGCUAGGUGUGUCUAUAUCCUACUGUAGUAGAGAGGUCUGUAUGUAGACUACAUUCUGCUAGGUGUGUCUAUAUCCUACUGUAGUAGAGGUCUGUAUAUAGACUGCAUUAGACAGUGU
This is a long non-coding RNA of Oncorhynchus mykiss (rainbow trout), 1769 nucleotides long. The record is from Ensembl. NCBI's taxonomy places the organism in Eukaryota, Metazoa, Chordata, Actinopteri, Salmoniformes, Salmonidae.